This 167-nucleotide ribosomal RNA is filed under the name uncultured eukaryote. RNAcentral's name for it is "partial small subunit ribosomal RNA". It matches the Rfam family "Eukaryotic small subunit ribosomal RNA", at positions 1662 to 1828 of the family's 1831-position model. The record is from RNAcentral.
GUACACACCGCCCGUCGCACCUACCGAUUGGAUGAUCCGGUGAAAUCUUCGGAGAAGAAGUUUAUAUGGGGUAACUCAUUGGCUUUUUCAAAGUUGCUUAAACCUUAUUAUCUAGAGGAAGGUAAAGUCGUAACAAGGUUUCCGUAGGUGAACCUGCAGAAGGAUCA